This 497-nucleotide ribosomal RNA is filed under the name uncultured bacterium. Its description in RNAcentral is "partial 16S ribosomal RNA". It matches the Rfam family "Bacterial small subunit ribosomal RNA", at positions 28 to 507 of the family's 1533-position model. The record is from RNAcentral.
GAUGGACGCUGGCGGCGUGCCUAAUACAUGCAAGUCGAGCGAACAGACGAGGAGCUUGCUCCUCUGACGUUAGCGGCGGACAGGUGAGUAACACGUGGAUAACCUACCUAUAAGACUGGGAUAACUUCGGGAAACCGGAGCUAAUACCGGAUAAUAUAUUGAACCGCAUGGUUCAAUAGUGAAAGACGGUUUUGCUGUCACUUAUAGAUGGAUCCGCGCCGCAUUAGCUAGUUGGUAAGGUAACGGCUUACCAAGGCAACGAUGCGUAGCCGACCUGAGAGGGUGAUCGGCCAGACUGGAACUGAGACACGGUCCAGACUCCUACGGGAGGCAGCAGUAGGGAAUCUUCCGCAAUGGGCGAAAGCCUGACGGAGCAACGCCGCGUGAGUGAUGAAGGUCUUCGGAUCGUAAAACUCUGUUAUUAGGGAAGAACAAAUGUGUAAGUAACUAUGCACGUCUUGACGGUACCUAAUCAGAAAGCCACGGCUAACUACGUG